Mesocricetus auratus (golden hamster) is the source of this 351-nucleotide long non-coding RNA. RefSeq lists it as uncharacterized. The transcript has 2 exons. The record is from RefSeq and is a predicted model, not a curated record. Lineage: Eukaryota; Metazoa; Chordata; Mammalia; Rodentia; Cricetidae.
ACUACUAACAGGUAGGCAGUCUUCGUUGAAACCAUGGUGGGCAUAGUCUCUCCUACUUCCCUCUUCCCAUUUUGUUUCAUUUUCAUUUUUGAAGCAAGGUCUUGUUAUGUAACUCUGGCCUAGAACUCACUGUGUAGACGAAGCUGAAUUCAUCGUCUUCCUGCUCUUCCCUUCCAAGUACUGGGAUUAACAGACACGAAGGAGCUUCAGUGGAAUGUGCCUGUGUGGAUCCUUGAAGACUCAAUAGGUCACAGGCAAGGAAAGAGGAUGAAGUAAUGAUGUAUCCUUGAUGAGAAAACACUGUGCAGAGUUAAAAAGACACCAAGUAAAGCCAUGCCAAUGUAAUUAUAA